RNAcentral lists this ribosomal RNA (466 nucleotides) under uncultured bacterium. RNAcentral's name for it is "bacterial SSU rRNA". It matches the Rfam family "Bacterial small subunit ribosomal RNA", at positions 329 to 792 of the family's 1533-position model. The record is from RNAcentral.
UUCCAGACUCCUACGGGAGGCAGCAGUGAGGAAUAUUGGUCAAUGGGCUUACGCCUGAACCAGCCAAGUCGCGUGAGGGAAGACUGCCCUAUGGGUUGUAAACUUAUUUUGUCAGGGAGCAAUUGGGUCCACGCGUGGGCUUAGCGAGAGUACCUGAAGAAAAAGCAUCGGCUAACUCCGUGCCAGCAGCCGCGGUAAUACGGAGGAUGCGAGCGUUAUCCGGAUUUAUUGGGUUUAAAGGGUGCGUAGGCGGAAUAUCAAGUCAGCGGUAAAAAUUCGGGGCUCAACCCCGUCGUGCCGUUGAAACUGAUGUUCUUGAGUGGGCGAGAAGUAUGCGGAAUGCGUGGUGUAGCGGUGAAAUGCAUAGAUAUCACGCAGAACUCCGAUUGCGAAGGCAGCAUACCGGCGCCCAACUGACGCUGAAGCACGAAAGCGUGGGUAUCGAACAGGAUUAGAUACCCGAGUA